GUAACAAGGUUUCCGUAGGUGAACCUGCGGAAGGAUCAUUACCGAGUGAGGGCCCUCUGGGUCCAACCUCCCACCCGUGUUUAUUUUACCUUGUUGCUUCGGCGGGCCCGCCUUAACUGGCCGCCGGGGGGCUUACGCCCCCGGGCCCGCGCCCGCCGAAGACACCCUCGAACUCUGUCUGAAGAUUGUAGUCUGAGUGAAAAUAUAAAUUAUUUAAAACUUUCAACAACGGAUCUCUUGGUUCCGGCAUCGAUGAAGAACGCAGCGAAAUGCGAUACGUAAUGUGAAUUGCAAAUUCAGUGAAUCAUCGAGUCUUUGAACGCACAUUGCGCCCCCUGGUAUUCCGGGGGGCAUGCCUGUCCGAGCGUCAUUUCUGCCCUCAAGCACGGCUUGUGUGUUGGGCCCCGUCCUCCGAUCCCGGGGGACGGGCCCGAAAGGCAGCGGCGGCACCGCGUCCGGUCCUCGAGCGUAUGGGGCUUUGUCACCCGCUCUGUAGGCCCGGCCGGCGCUUGCCGAUCAACCCAAAUUUUUAUCCAGGUUGACCUCGGAUCAGGUAGGGAUACCCGCUGAACUUAAGCAUAUCAAUAAGCGGAGGAAAAGAAACCAACAGGGAUUGCCCCAGUAACGGCGAGUGAAGCGGCAAGAGCUCAAAUUUGAAAGCUGGCUCCUUCGGGGUCCGCAUUGUAAUUUGUAGAGGAUGCUUCGGGAGCGGUCCCCAUCUAAGUGCCCUGGAACGGGACGUCAUAGAGGGUGAGAAUCCCGUAUGGGAUGGGGUGUCCGCGCCCGUGUGAAGCUCCUUCGACGAGUCGAGUUGUUUGGGAAUGCAGCUCUAAAUGGGUGGUAAAUUUCAUCUAAAGCUAAAUAUUGGCCGGAGACCGAUAGCGCACAAGUAGAGUGAUCGAAAGAUGAAAAGCACUUUGAAAAGAGAGUUAAAAAGCACGUGAAAUUGUUGAAAGGGAAGCGCUUGCGACCAGACUCGCUCGCGGGGUUCAGCCGGCAUUCGUGCCGGUGUACUUCCCCGCGGGCGGGCCAGCGUCGGUUUGGGCGGUCGGUCAAAGGCCCUCGGAAGGUAACGCCCCUAGGGGCGUCUUAUAGCCGAGGGUGCAAUGCGACCUGCCUAGACCGAGGA
This 1129-nucleotide small RNA is filed under the name Penicillium rubens. RNAcentral describes it as "eukaryotic LSU rRNA". The stretch from base 540 to 1129 matches the Rfam family "Eukaryotic large subunit ribosomal RNA", at positions 1 to 595 of the family's 3401-position model. The record is from RNAcentral. Lineage: Eukaryota; Fungi; Ascomycota; Eurotiomycetes; Eurotiales; Aspergillaceae.